Molecule: ribosomal RNA, 231 nt
Filed under: uncultured bacterium
Lineage: Bacteria
Description: partial 16S ribosomal RNA
Rfam family: Bacterial small subunit ribosomal RNA
Source: RNAcentral
UACGUAGGUGGCAAGCGUUGUCCGGAUUUACUGGGCGUAAAGAGCGCGCAGGCGGUCGUUCAAGUCGCGUGUGAAAGCCCCCGGCUCAACUGGGGAGGGUCACGCGAUACUGAUCGACUCGAAGGCAGGAGAGGGUAGUGGAAUUCCCGGUGUAGUGGUGAAAUGCGUAGAUAUCGGGAGGAACACCAGUGGCGAAGGCGACUACCUGGCCUGUUCUUGACGCUGAGGGCG